Molecule: long non-coding RNA, 2283 nt
Organism: Mercenaria mercenaria
Lineage: Eukaryota; Metazoa; Mollusca; Bivalvia; Venerida; Veneridae
Exons: 3
Source: RefSeq, a predicted model, not a curated record
UCACGUUCCUCAAGUUUUGACUGCACCAAAUGUCAACAAGGUUAUUAUGGACAAACUUGUUCCUAUGCCUGUCCACAAGGAUGUGAUGGAGGCUGUUCAAAGGUAACAGGGCGAUGUUUAGAAUGCAUGGAAGGAUUAUAUGGGAAUUUUUGCAACAGUACGAACACGUGUAAGGAGGGCUUGUAUGGACAUUCAUGUUCUAGAAAAUGUCGAAGUAAGGAUCAAUAUUGUAGGAAAUGUACAACAAACACCGGGGGUGGAUACGGGGGUUGUUUACAAUGCAUCACAGGUAGAUAUCCAGUUUUAGUACAAAGGUACAAAACGUGCGAAUGUGUCCAGAAGAGUGCAAAGAUAAUGUAUGUUAUUCGACUGACGGAUAUUGUUCCCUUGGAUGUAUUCGAAACACGUGGGGAAAUACAUGCCAGUUAGAAUGUACACCUAACUGCGUACAAUGUAACCAGACGAACGGACACUGUACUGUCUGUAACAGACAAACAUAUUUGAACGUUCAAAGAUAUGUAGCACUGAUUGCUAUUCAACUGGCAGUAAACGAAUUUGCGCCCUCGACACAGGUAAAUGUUUAAUAGGAUGUAAUACAUAUACAAAACACGGACAUUUCUGCGAACUUUACUGUAGCAAAACGUGCAAAAGUCAAAGUUGCGACUGGCAAACGGGACAAUGCAUGUAUGGAUGUACAGAAAAUUAUUUUGGUACAUUUUGUGAAAAUGAGUGUUCAUCGACAUGCAAGGCAAUUCAAGGGAGACCACUAUGCAAUGAAUCAAGCGGCCAUUGUAUUUCAGAGUGUAUAGAUGGAAUUUACGGAAGCAAAUGCGAUAAAAAAUGCAGUGCCAAUUGUGCCAAUACAACAUGUAUACAAUCUACUGCUACGUGUGUCUAUGGGUGUAUCCAAGGGUACGAAGGUCCCACAUGUUUAAAGCCUAUGAAAAUAAUUGGAGAUGGCAGUCACAGCACGGGUGUGCUUGUUGGAGCAACAGUCGGAACGCUGUUUAUUGGUCUUAUAUCUGGAGUUGGGUUUUCAUUUAUUUUUGUUUUAUGGAAAAGAAGGUAUGCCGGUGUCCAGUAAUGUUAAGAGCCAUACACAAAUAUUUUACAAAAAUAAAUUACCUUAGAUUUUUCAUGUUACUUAAAGUUAUGUUGUACAAUGUUUUGUUGGAUUAAAAAUAAAUGAGUCUUCGCUCAGUUGUUGUUAGACUAAGUACUGCAAAUAAUAGGAAUUUAGAAUUCACUGUUUUGUAAAUAUAUGAGUGCCAAAACAGGUCUUCCUAAGCUUUUGAACAGAGGUAACAUUUCAGAUUGUUCAGAUAAUUAGUCGUAUAAUCAUUACAAUUGAUUACAAAGAAUAAAACAUGAUUCUGAACACUACACUACAGGCGUAAUCGGCUUCUUUAACUUUAGAUGGCGGCAGAACAACUCGCCACAGUUAUACUAAGUAUUGUACUUGUUACAUACUUCUUUGUUUAUGGGCCAUAGAUUGUAUACUCCUAACUAUCAUGUAAAAAGACAGCAAGAUAAAUGUUUCACGGAAGUUCCUUAAUAUUUGUUUUUAAUGUCCAAAUCCACUUUUACGGUCCAGACUGGUACUUUUAUUAUGUCACGUAAUAUUUUUUCAUAUGUUAAAUUUAAUCGACAUUUUUUCGUUUUGUAGAAACACAAGGAAUAAUAAGGAAUUGCAAUCACAAAAUCAAAACAAAUUUGAAAACUUUGGAGCAAAUGUCAGGGAAGAAACGAACACUGGCGAAGAUUCUCACAAAAGAAGCGCACAUGUCGACUACGAAAAUGAAAUGCCGAUGACAUAUGAAGAUCUGAAAAAGCAAGAGACAAGGACAUACAGCCAACUGACUUCAGACAACUGUGACUCGAAUCAUCCUGCUGCUGAAUAUAUAAACUGUUAAAUGCACGCUAGUAAAUAAGACAUUCGUAUAACUGCCUAGUGUACUUUACUGAUAAAAAACCUGUCUUAAAAUAUAUCAUCUCAUCGUUUUAAGACAUUAGACCAACUACGACAAAGCGCCUGGCAAUACAGAGGAGUCUGUAAAUUCAGCACGAAAUCAACCAACACACUACUAAUAGUUUCAGUGCUAAUCUAUGUCGAAGGAUCAAGUAUACAUUGUCCGUAGUUUAUGUUCUUAUGAGUUUAUGUUUUGUAUCCCCCAUAUUGUCUUCCGUAGUCGUGUUCUUGAAUUUAGUUAUUAAAAGUCUUCUGUAGUCUUGUUAUUGUAUCAAAUCGUGUUUAUGCAUUAUUCUUCAUCCAAUAAACUUCUU